CCAGAGGGGUGGUGGCUGCGAGGCUGGGGGGGUGGGGGGAAAUGAAUGAAAAACCCCUUUUAUUUCUAUUUGAUUUGUUGUUAUUGUAUCCUAUGCCAUUCAGCCAGCGCGGGAUCUCGAUCCACAACCAGGCCAGUCCUGAAAACAAAACCCCUCGGACCUCGCCGCGCCGUCAGUCAGGGAUUUGCAGCUGACAGAAAAACACCAGACUUGUGCCACGCAGGAGGAGAAUGGGUCUCCUGCUCGCUCCUGCUAGACGACCUCGGCUCGGAGUGCGAGGGAGUAUAUGUCCCGAGGAGUUGCCUUUUAAAAAGCUCCAGCCCUUUAUCCUCCAACAGGGUGAAAAUUUGAGAAGAAGCCGAAAAAGGUCCCGUUGCGCGUAAAUCCAGCGAGUGAAGUCCUACGGUGAACGCAGGCUGCGGGUCUCCGCUCCUCCGUGGAAUCUCUGCUGUAAACAAGAGUCGGCUUCUCUCACGCAGGAACACAUAGUGGUAAGGAUAAGGUGGCCGGCGGGAGGGCGCGAAAACCCGGACUGGAUCCACACCCGAGACUGGGUGGGGGGAAAAAACAAAACAAAAACAAGAUGCCUCGAACGAGACGCGCUAAAGGAGCGCAUGCACCCCCUGCUGGAGGCCUCUGAGUAUGACAAGGUUUAAAACACGAUUGGAAUCUAUUGAAGGUUUAUGUAGGAAACUACUGGACCAAUAACCACACAACUUGGUAGAAGGAAGCUGCAUGGAUCAGAGAUGAAGUCUAGUGAAUGAAUCUGGAAUCUUCUCUUAAAAAAACAUUUCCCCCCCAUAAGAGGAAGAGGCUCUUCCUGCACUUCUCCUUCUCCCUCGUUCUCCUUAAAAAAGCCCAGAAAAUCCCAGGACCGAGGAAUGACCUGGCGAGAGAAGCCGAGCUCCAGCAGCCAGGACACGCUAACAACACUUAUCAAAGAAGAAAGCAUUGCCAGGGUUCUGAAGGGAAAGUGCUGUUUUAUAACUCCAUCUUCCUCCGUCCAGCCGGGAUACAGGAGAACAGGAGGGAUCCCGAGUACUGGUUCUCCACCCACCACACGCAGCAGCAUCCCAAC
This is a long non-coding RNA of Pleuronectes platessa (European plaice), 1078 nucleotides long. RefSeq lists it as uncharacterized. The record is from RefSeq and is a predicted model, not a curated record. The transcript has 3 exons. NCBI's taxonomy places the organism in Eukaryota, Metazoa, Chordata, Actinopteri, Pleuronectiformes, Pleuronectidae.